CUGAAUUGCCUAAGAGUUUUAUUAAACUUCUUACUAGAUUUGGCGUGUUAGACUUUUGUUUACAAUUAUCAAAGAGAAUUCAUUUUGGUAAUUUUGAAUUAAAAAGAAGUGCCAUUCGAAUAUCAAGUUUAUUACAAAAUAUCCUAUCUUCAUCAUCUUCUUCUUCAUCUUGUUCUUC
Molecule: non-coding RNA, 178 nt
Filed under: Pteridomonas danica
Lineage: Eukaryota; Dictyochophyceae; Pedinellales
Source: RNAcentral